Molecule: long non-coding RNA, 3266 nt
Filed under: Homo sapiens (human)
Lineage: Eukaryota; Metazoa; Chordata; Mammalia; Primates; Hominidae
Description: family with sequence similarity 66 member C (FAM66C)
Source: RNAcentral
AUGCGCGGUCUGCCUCCCGCGGCGGGCCGGGUCUCCAGGGAGGACCUGAGUUUUUCUUCACCCAUGGUCAGGGAGGCGCCAUCGCCCUGGCUUUGGGGCUGGGGCCUCCGGGGAGGUUCCGGUAGGGGCGUUGGAGAGGCCGCUCUUUUUGCAAGGCCCGAGAUGGCGGGCCCUGCGCAGGCCGCCCUAUUCCGCGCCCUCAGGGCGUCAGUAUCCGCCUGAGGCCGGAUACCCACUCUGGGCUCGGAUACCCGCGCUGGGCCCGGAGCAUCCUCGGCGCUGCCCUCCCAGAGCCCCGCAGAGGCUGAGGUGGCGCGGGGGCGGCCCCGGCUCCGCGAGAAGAGGCGGCAGCGAGGGCUGGAGGACCCGGGCUACGGGGCUCCGGGGCGUCUGGCCUGGGUGGGACUGAGCCCAUCCAGGGACUGGGACUCCGGGGUUCUGGUGUAGGUGGAUCCCGGGCAGGCUCAGGACCAAGACCCUCUCCUUCCACCAAGGAGCGCCCAGAGGCCGGCGGGAGCUCCAGGUUCACCUCCUCCUCCUCCAGGGACGACUUGAGAAGGCAUCCUGACCCUAUGCAGAAAUGCAGAAACACUUCCAUGAGCUAAACAACCUAUGUGAAGGCCUGAAAGCCAAAGCAAGAUCCUCUUAUUACAAAGCUGUCCAACAAAAAGUUUUCCAAGUAACACUGGAGGUCCAUCACUCACUCUUCCUGGUCUGGAAAUGCCAGAAAUGUCCUCCUUGGUCCUUCUGAGAGUCAAGAUCUUUUCAAAGUCACCUCAGGAGCCACAGAACCACUCCAUCCUACCUGAAAUUGCAGGAUGACUCUUCUUUUGACCAGAGUCUCAAAAAUAUAUUCGUUGAUAAUUUUGAUUCCUGGGAGCCGCCAUUGCUUGCAAAAGAUGUGCCAGGGACUAGACAUUUUCUGUCUCCUCACUUGUCCGGGGAAGACUGAAGUUUUACUGAAACACAGAGAUGGGAAUCUGACCCUCUGAGCAGCCUCAGGAUUUUCUAAGUCUUCCAAGCAGAGUGGAAAUACUGGAAAUCCCACUUCCAGCUGGAUGUCUGGAUGAACUCCUGAAAGCUGCUGAGUGUCCUGCAGCAGGUGAGCUGUGGCCAGAGCCCAAGGAUGAAGGGGACUCCCUCACUCUGUGACUGUGAAGAGGAAGCCUGAGGUGUAGCAGGCCCAGGCCCCAGAAGUAUGGAAAAAAUGAGCCUUUCAUCCCAAAGAUGCAGCCGACUUGAUUGUGGUGGAUGAGCUUUUUGAUGUGCUGCUGGAUUCUGUUUGCUAGUAUUCUAUUAAGAAUUUUUGCAUUGAUGUUCAUCAGGGAUAUUGGCCUGGAUUGAGCAGGCCAUUUCCAAUCCAGAGGAAGACCUUCUAGAAGAAGUGAUGGGUGGGAGAGUGCUGACAUACUAUGCAAAGCUACUAUUUGGAGUUGGACACGAGUGCAUGUGACCUUGUGCCACAGCGGGAAUGUGAGCUGGAUGACAAAUGGAGAUUUGGACUUGUGAUAAUUGGCCUCUGUGUCAUUGUGUGGAAGACUGACUGGUCCCUUUAUUUCCUGUAGCUUGACUACCACACAAAUUAAUCCACUCAAAUGUUGGCAAGUGGAGCAGAGUCCCAGGACAGUCUGCAAUCUCUACAGGUACAGAAACACCCCCAGUUCAAGGAUCUUCACACCUGGAUUUAGGCCUACACCUGCAACUACCCCAGGCCAGUUAUCCAGGCAGUGACUUUCUGUACAGCUACAGUCACCUCUGGACACCUGCGGAGACUUUAAAAAUUUCCAGAAGGUCAGGAAUUUUUGGAGACCUUUCUUAUGGCUACGUUGCCUGCAAAGGUGAAUCAAUAAGCUUCUGAACUGACUUAGAAAAUGUUGCAGAGACUCUUGUGAACAGAUAGACCCUCUCCUGCCACUCCAGAUAGACGUAUCCGGGUCACACACACCUGAUUUAACAACAUCUCAUUAUCUCAGGCACCAAUUUGAUCUUCUACUACUUUGCAGACAUCUCUUCUGCAAACACCAGACAAACUGAGACAAUGAACUUCCGCAGGACCCAAAGCACCUCUUACUGCAGGAAAGAAGAUCCAGUGAGAUAGUUAGUCCACAAAUGGAAUGUCAAUCCAUAAACACACUUAAGUAACAGAAUAAAUUUAGUAUGAGCGUUUUUAUGUGGGAGCUCUUGAAAUGGUUGCUGCUCAUAUGUCAGAGACAUAUGCAGUUUAAGAAAGGUAGCAGUUCCAAUCCUGGUUUGGCCCAACAGUCACUGCAUUUUUGGUGGGGAAAAGGGAUGUGGGAGGAGAUGGUACAUCUUCAUCUUUUUCUCUGGGUUUUCUGUCAGAAAGGGAUGUUGCUUACUCCAGUGGCAAAAAAUGCCAGUGUCUUCUGCCAGAGUGGGUUACUGAGGGCCAUGGUGGUUCCACCUUGUGGCUGAUACAGAUAGUCCCUUUCUGCUUUUGUUUCUAGCCAAAAAAGAUGUUUCUCGCAUCUCAGGUAUGCAGACUUCAGCAGCUGUUUUUUCUAUAUGGCUAUUUUUUUUUUCUUUCACUCUCUCUUUCUCUCUUUUUUUUUUGUUGGCUUCACUGUGUUGCCAUAGUUUCUUAAAUGGUCCCUUGAACCCUCCCAGAGCUAUUUUGGUUUGUACAUAACUAUCUAUAUAUUUUUUUCUUGGGGGGAGUGUGUAGAGCUAAAGGCUGGUAUAUCCUGCUCCUGCUCCCCGAAAGUGACGUUAUUCCCCCAAGCUAAUAUUUCAGGCUUUCAAUUUAUUCAUGCUUUCAUCUGUUUAAACAUAAGUAGAAAUUACUUUUUCUCUCCACAUUUAGAUUUGAUCUAUCUACUUUAAUUGCUAAUAGUGUCUUAGUCAUAGAAUAGAUUAGUUAGAAAAAAGUGUUUUUGACAUUAUAAAUGAUUCUUUCAAUUUGUGUCUAAAAGUGGAAAAUACUAGAAAGCUUAACAUUUAUUAUUGUAUUCAGACCAGUAUUUCCUCCAGAUGACCUUUAUUACAACAAAGAUAAUUUAAUGAAGAUCUCUCUAAUGGUAAAGCUGAUGGCUUUGUGCUAUUACAAUAUCCUUCAAAUAAAGUGACGAUCUGGUGGAAAGAACAACUAAAGCAAGGAUUAGGAAGAAAACAGUUAAUACCUUCAUUUUGGUCUCACUCUGCAUUAAGAGUUUUCAUUGUGUUAAGGAUUUAUUAUACAUUAAGUAAUUUAAUGUUCAUUUAAUAAUAAAUGGAUCCUAUUAAAUAUGAUUUUUAAAAUUAUAAUCACA